GACGAACGCUGGCGGCGUGCUUAACACAUGCAAGUCGAACGGUGAAGCGCCUUCCUUUUUGGUGGGUGUGGAUGAGUGGCGAACGGGUGAGUAACACGUGAGUAACCUGCCCCCUUCUUCUGGAUAACCGCAUGAAAGUGUGGCUAAUACGGGAUAUUCUGGGUCUGUCGCAUGAUGGGUCUGGGAAAGAUAUUGUUUCGGUGGGGGAUGGGCUCGCGGCCUAUCAGCUUGUUGGUGGGGUGAUGGCCUACCAAGGCGGUGACGGGUAGCCGGCCUGAGAGGGUGGACGGUCACACUGGGACUGAGACACGGCCCAGACUCCGACGAGAGGCAGCAGUGGGGAAUAUUGCACAAUGGGCGCAAGCCUGAUGCAGCGACGCCGCGUGAGGGAUGGAGGCCUUCGGGUUGUGAACCUCUUUCGCCGGUGAAGCAGGCCUGCCUCGUUUGUGGGUGGGUUGACGGUAGCUGGAUAAGAAGCGCCGGCUAACUACGUG
This 494-nucleotide ribosomal RNA is filed under the name uncultured bacterium. RNAcentral describes it as "partial 16S ribosomal RNA". It matches the Rfam family "Bacterial small subunit ribosomal RNA", at positions 28 to 507 of the family's 1533-position model. The record is from RNAcentral.